Molecule: non-coding RNA, 4908 nt
Organism: Meleagris gallopavo (turkey)
Lineage: Eukaryota; Metazoa; Chordata; Aves; Galliformes; Phasianidae
Source: RefSeq, a predicted model, not a curated record
GAUUAACUGUGAAGACAGAUUUGUUCCAUAAAUGGGGGUCCCAUUAAGCAACAUGACUGCUGGCUGCAAAGCAACACACUCUGGUCUCAUCCAUACCCAUAGACAACAUAGCUGAAACUACGUUAGAGAGCUGAAGUUAUCAGUGCUCCACUUCUUCCUGAAGCUGAUGCUAGCAUUUCUUCCCCUUGUAACUUGUUAUGUAAACAUUUUUGUUUUGUUUUGUUUUAAAGUGCAGGGAAAGACACGCAACUGAGGGCAGCCAGUUUUGCCAGUCCUUCCUGACUGAGAGCAUCUGGGAGCUCCAGGCUGCAGUGGAGCUUUAUGAAUUAACAAGUGAGGUUCUCAACGCUAAGGUGAGAAAUGCUAUAACAAAGUCAUAGGUAGGUAAAUGUAUAUAUGCAUUUAAUUCAUAGAGGGAUUUUUGGCACUUAACAAAAAGGACUGAAGGAGACUAGCUGGAAAUAUCCACAUAGGUGUCACUGAGGAUGAAUCUAUCAAAGUCACACCUCUACCCUCAACAAGUGAUGAUAACUACAGGUGUUUGAGAAGCAGCAUGAUGCAAAGGAUAUGAUACAAUAAUGGACUGCAAAAGGCCUAGAUGUUAAUCCGAACAACAUGACUGUCCAAGUGACAUUCAACUAAGAAAUCUAUGUCCUCUGUUCUGCAAGUUUACUCUCUGUAGUAAAGUAAAAAUACUGGUAUAAUGGAAAGUGUUAAUGGCUAUUGUCAAGUGUUGAUGAAUAGAUUAUAAAUCACAUUCAAGUUUGUGAGCUUUCUAGGCAUCUUGCAGGAUAAAUGAAAUACACAAGAGAGCUCUUUUAGGGAAUAAAAUAACUGGAAACAGUAGAAGGUGUGGUCCUUGGCCGAGUAAAACUUAACUCAUGCUUGCCAAGACAUUUCCUUGUGCACUGGCUGCUUGCAAGUAUGGGAGCAAACAGAAAGGUGAAACUGCAGUAAAUAUAUGGCUAUGAAAUCAAGACUGGAUGCCUAAUUACAGGACUGUCUGUGAACUGAAAAGAGAAAUGCCACGAAUUUGCUUCCUACUUUUUUUUCCUCCUCUAGGCUGAGAAGCAGAGCACUAUCCACAGUAUUUAUAAGCAAGAAGCAUUCCACCAAAAAUAUGGGAGGUAAGCCAAAACAGCCUCUAUUACCAAUCAGCAAUAAUCUAUUUCCUGAGAUCUCAGCACGACAAUACUAUUAUCUUGAAAGUGAAAGAGUAUACGAAUGGUUCCCUCUGCCAAGACUGACCUAGUAUUAACUAGGGAAAAAUUGAUCCUAGUUAGACAGCAUAUCUUCUAUCAGGUUUUGAUGCUGAUAGUUCGGAAAUUAUCAUAUGAAUUAGUGAUUUAAAAUAUAGUCAUUUUUAAAUGCAUCUGCCUUGAAAAAUGUUGGAACGCUAAAAAUUAUUAUCUGGAAGAGAUGUUAUUAUACAGAAACAUAAUACUUAAAACAUCCCUACAAUUAUGUUAGAAAAAAACACCAAACUAUUUCAUGUCUCAUUUUGCUUCAAGUAGACAGCAAGGAACGGGACAAAGAAAGACCUGAGACACUGAGAUGAAAUGGUAAGACAGUGGGAGAAAACUGGAUAAAAAAAGAAGAGAUUUGGGAGCUUUUACAAGUCUGUGAGAUGAGCAUGGGACUGCUCCUCAUUCUGUGGCUGUAAAGGUAUAAAGACUGUUGUUACAUGCUCUUCUAAAUUGUGCUGAAAGACCUAAAUAUUUGCUGAGGGACAAAUUGGGAAGAGUAAUAUAUGGCCUACAGAGCUUGAUCCCAAAGAAGAAAAGUUUCCGUUGAAAAUAUAGAGAGAAACCCUUAGGUUUCCAAACAGCACAGAGAUCCUGCCCUAUCUCAAAGAUACUGCAGUGCACUUUUUAUGGUUAGAUCAGUGCAAGCUUAUUUCAGACAAAAACCUCAGCUUCACUUUUAGAAUUUUUAUUAAGCUCUGGCUGAAGCAGUUGCAGGGCUGGCAAGGUUCUGCAUAGCUCGUUUUCACUUCGUGAGGUUUUAUAGAUAUGUUUUGGAUGUAUGCUGAGCAAAAAUUUUUAAUAGUGACAGGAUAAAAGAAGAAAUAUUCCCAUUUGUGGUAACCCAACAUUACUCUUCUACAAAGUGACUCCUCUCAGUUUUUGUCCAUCCAUAAAAACUACAGUGGUGUCAGAAGGGCUGUCAUAGAAACUGUUUUCAACAGCACGGCUGCAUCAGCAACCACAGCUCACAGUAGCCUCACUAGACCAACUCCACAACCACACUGAGACAAUAGUAGCCAAAACUGCUGAAACGAAUGGAGCAAAUCUAGCUUCAUACAGGCAUAACAGAAGAAUUCCCCAGGAUGAUAGAAGACACAGAAAAUUUGUCAGUGUGCUCAUCUAAAUCAAUGUCAGUUAACUGCUCUUGUUGUAAGGAAGGACUCAGUUUUUGAGUCCUAUUAUCAUUAUGCAAUACCAUCAGUGCCUCAGCUCCAACCUCAAGGCAACUGUUGAUGACUCUGGGGCUAUUGUGAGGGAACGGAUGUUUUUAUGAUGCACUGUUCAGACUGGUGAGGCCAUUCCCCUCAUUCACACUCACCUACUCCAGGCAUCUUCCCUCCAAGCUACAGCUCUUUCCAUUGGUAUCACAUAGACUAUACAGGACACAAACUCCCUUAUGCUGGUCCUACACAACUUACCAGCUAUGCUGAUUUUUUUUCCUGCUGUUAAGUCUCAGCUCCCCCUACCACCAUGCAGCCUCAGCUGUGCAUCCUCGUUCUUACUCAAAUGAAAUUCUGCAUUCUUUUGAUGGGGUGCAGAGGGAAAGAAAAUACGGAAGAGACCUACUAAGUCUUAAGGAUAAGGUGCAGAAGAGGAGUAGCCUGAAAAGAGCAACGCGGCUAUGGAUAAGAACAACUGCCUCAGUUCACUAAUAUCAUAAUACCCAGAUACAGAAACAGGGAGAACACCCUCCAGCAGAGACAAAGCAAUUCCCUUCCCAGCCAGUGAGAGGAACAAGAUCUCUGGCUGCAACAGCUGUCUCCUUCAACAGUUUGCAAACUAAGUUCAUACAAGUACACUGAAGGCAGGAUGUUCCCUCAUCAUCUUUUUGGCCUGCAAAGCAGAAUGAAAGUCUUCUGAGAACAGGAGCUCUCCUGAGAGCUUAUGAACUUCAGGCCAGGACAGAGAGUCUCCAGGAUUGGCAUUCCUGACAGUGUUUCAACAAUUCUCCUUCGAUCCCAGAUGGAACCUAUACAUGCAGAGGCAGCUGUAUUGCAGACAACAAACUCUGUACACCUGAACAUUUUCCAGCUUCUGAAAAAACUUUGGAGUUCAGUUUAAAUUUGGGAAGAAACAAGUCCAGGUUGAUUUUUUCUGUCUGUAUUAUUCAAUUCAUUUCCUAGCAAUGGACAGCCUGGAAAGUGGGCUGCCACGGAUGGCCAUGCCAAGAACAUCUCACAGUUUGGUAAAAGACUCCUCAGUGGGUCAGGCUCUGUGGGCCUUGCACACUGCAACAGGCGAGAUGCAAACCAGAAUGCUUAUAUAAUACGAGCAGCAGCACAUUCCAUAAAAAGACAAAAAGGAGCCUUGCUUACUAUGCUGAGCCAGUAGGAGCCACUUACAGAUGGAAAUCAUGGAAUCAUGAAGGUGGAAAAAGACCACUAAGAUUAUCUAGCCCAACCACCAAUCCAUCACCAUUAUGCCCACUGAACCAUGUCCCUCAGUGCCACAUCUACAUAUUUCUCGAACACAACCAGGGACAAUGACUCCACUACUUCCCUGGGCAGCCUAUUCCAAUAACUCAACCACUCUUUCUGAGAAGAAUCUUUUCUUAAUACCCAAUCCGAGCUUCCCCUGGUGCAACUUCAGGCCAUUACCUCUCACCCUAUCACUUGUUGCUUGGGAGAAGAGGUCGAUCCCCACAUCACCACAGUCUCAUUUCAGGCAGUUGUAGAAAUCAAUGUCUCCUCCAAGCCUCCUCCUCUCCAUACUAGACAAUCCCAUUCCCUCAGCCACUCUUCAUGAGACUUGUGAUCCAGACUCUUCGUAAAUCUCAUUUACUCUUGUCUGCAAAUGUGUGUCAUUCAAUGGUGUAUUCAACACUUCGGGAUAAUGCACAUGGAUUUCACUCACGUAAGGAUGGACAGAGGUAAGUAGGACAACCUUAUGCGAUGGAAGACACAUUUGAAAGCAGUGAUUCUGAAAAAAGAUUUGGAUCAUUAUCACCUCUGGUGCAACCCUAAGUCUAAAAGAACUGAUGAAAUAGUAGGAUUUAGGAACAGAAACAUGAAGCAGGAGGGAAAACAAUUCACUUUGUCCACAUAGUUCCUGGAGAAACACUAUAAGCCAGUCUUUCAUACAGAAUACAAGGAUGCAGAAAAAUUGAGGAGGGCUCAGAAAAGAUCCACAAGAACUAUAAAGGAAUAGAAAUCCUAUCACCCAGGAAAAGAUAAAAGCUCAAAGGAGAUUUGGGAAUAGUCAGUCUGUGAGCACCUACACAGGAAAUUAUGAAAGAAACUCACUUUGACCUGAUAAGUGAUAUGGAUAGUUGGAAGGCAAUGUGGAGAAACUAAGAUUAGAAAUCAUAUGCAGAUUUUUAACAUCAAAAGCAACUAACCAUUAAACUGAUCUACCAAAAACUCUGUGAAGUUUCUAAAUCACCGGAGUGCUUUAGGUAGGUUAGGAGUUGUUUUAAAGAAUUAUUCUACUUCUCACGGGAGCUCAACCAGAGACAUGCUGCAGUUCGCGAUAUGCAGCAGCUUCUGCAACGCGAUCACUUUAAUGAUUUUUGACCUUUUAAUCUGUGAAAUGGUGAGUUAAUUUCUAAACAGCUGUUCUCAUGACUGUGCAUGGGAAAAAUAAUGGCAACAGUUGUUUAGGUACAGGCAGUUCCAUCUCACUCCCCUUGUGCUUAGGAAUUUAGAAAUAGCUGAAUGAAUAU